Molecule: ribosomal RNA, 245 nt
Filed under: Klebsiella variicola
Lineage: Bacteria; Pseudomonadati; Pseudomonadota; Gammaproteobacteria; Enterobacterales; Enterobacteriaceae
Description: partial 16S ribosomal RNA
Rfam family: Bacterial small subunit ribosomal RNA
Source: RNAcentral
CGUUAAUCGGAAUUACUGGGCGUAAAGCGCGCGUAGGUGGUUUGUUAAGUUGGAUGUGAAAUCCCCGGGCUCAACCUGGGAACUGCAUUCAAAACUGACUGACUAGAGUAUGGUAGAGGGUGGUGGAAUUUCCUGUGUAGCGGUGAAAUGCGUAGAUAUAGGAAGGAACACCAGUGGCGAAGGCGACCACCUGGACUAAUACUGACACUGAGGUGCGAAAGCGUGGGGAGCAAACAGGAUUAGAU